Molecule: ribosomal RNA, 476 nt
Filed under: uncultured bacterium
Lineage: Bacteria
Description: bacterial SSU rRNA
Rfam family: Bacterial small subunit ribosomal RNA
Source: RNAcentral
GAUGAACGCUGGCGGCGUGCUUAACACAUGCAAGUCGAACGAAGAUGCCGGAGUGCUUGCACUUUGGCAGACUGAGUGGCGGACGGGUGAGUAACGCGUGGGUAACCUGCCUUAUACAGGGGGAUAACAGUUGGAAACGACUGCUAAUACCGCAUAAGCGUACGGUAUCGCAUGAUACAGUGUGAAAAACUCCGGUGGUAUAAGAUGGACCCGCGUCUGAUUAGCUUGUUGGUGAGGUAACGGCCCACCAAGGCGACGAUCAGUAGCCGGCCUGAGAGGGUGAACGGCCACAUUGGGACUGAGACACGGCCCAAACUCCUACGGGAGGCAGCAGUGGGGAAUAUUGCACAAUGGGGGGAAACCCUGAUGCAGCGACGCCGCGUGAGUGAUGAAGUAUUUCGGUAUGUAAAACUCUAUCAGCAGGGAAGAUAAUGACGGUACCUGACUAAGAAGCAACCGGCUAAAUACGUGCCAGC